CCGACUGCGGAGGAUCAUUAUCGAGUUUUGAACAGGUUGUAGCUGGCCUCUUACGAGGUAUGUGCACGCCUGGCUCAUCCACUCUUCAACCCCUGUGCACUUUUCAUAGAACAGGCAGAGGCUGGGAACAUUUCUCAGUUCGAUGUUUGCUCUGUGUAAUUUUUAUACCAACUCUUGUAUAUGAAUGUCUUCUUGCAGAUAAUGCAAACAAUAAAAUAACUUUCAGCAACGGAUCUCUUGGCUCUCGCAUCGAUGAAGAACGCAGCGAAAUGCGAUAAGUAAUGUGAAUUGCAGAAUUCAGUGAAUCAUCGAAUCUUUGAACGCACCUUGCGCUCCUUGGUAUUCCUUGGAGCAUGCCUGUUUGAGUAUCAUGGAAAUCUCAACUCCCAAGUUUUUUUGAAACAUGGUGAGCUUGGACUUGGAGGAUAUGUGCUGGCUAUUAAUCUAGUUGGCUCCUCUGAAAUGCAUUAGCAUGAAUUUUGCAAUCAUCUUCAGUGUGAUAAUUGUCUGCGCUGUGGAUGUAAAGCAAUAUAUGUUCAUGCUUAUAGCUGUCUUCUAAAGACAUUUCUUUGACUUCUGAUCUCAAAUCAGGUAGGACUACCCGCUGAACUUAAGCAUAUCAAUAAGCCGGAGGAA
RNAcentral lists this ribosomal RNA (636 nucleotides) under Ceriporia reticulata. RNAcentral's name for it is "eukaryotic LSU rRNA". The stretch from base 218 to 371 matches the Rfam family "5.8S ribosomal RNA". The record is from RNAcentral. Lineage: Eukaryota; Fungi; Basidiomycota; Agaricomycetes; Polyporales; Irpicaceae.